RNAcentral lists this ribosomal RNA (433 nucleotides) under uncultured bacterium. RNAcentral describes it as "bacterial SSU rRNA". It matches the Rfam family "Bacterial small subunit ribosomal RNA", at positions 958 to 1392 of the family's 1533-position model. The record is from RNAcentral.
AACGCGAAGAACCUUACCUACCCUUGACAUGUCAGGAAUCCCGAAGAGAUUUGGGAGUGCCGCAAGGAACCUGAACACAGGUGCUGCAUGGCUGUCGUCAGCUCGUGUCGUGAGAUGUUGGGUUAAGUCCCGCAACGAGCGCAACCCUUGUCAUUAGUUGCCAUCAUUUAGUUGGGCACUCUAAUGAGACUGCCGGUGACAAACCGGAGGAAGGUGGGGAUGACGUCAAGUCCUCAUGGCCCUUAUGGGUAGGGCUUCACACGUCAUACAAUGGUCGGUACAGAGGGUCGCUAACCCGCGAGGGGGUGCCAAUCUCAGAAAGCCGAUCGUAGUCCGGAUCGUAGUCUGCAACUCGACUACGUGAAGUCGGAAUCGCUAGUAAUCGCGGAUCAGAAUGCCGCGGUGAAUACGUCCCGGGUUCUUGUACACACCG